GAUGAACGCUGGCGGCGUGCCUAAUACAUGCAAGUCGAGCGAACAGACGAGGAGCUUGCUCUUUGACGUUAGCGGCGGACGGGUGAGUAACACGUAGGUAACCUACCUAUAAGACUGGGAUAACUUCGGGAAACCGGAGCUAAAACCGGAUAAUAUUUCGAACCGCAUGGUUUGAUAGUGAAAGAUGGCUUUGCUAUCCCUUAUAGAUGGACCUGCGCCGUAUUAGGUUGUUGGUAAGGGAACGGCUUACCCAGGGAACGAUACCUAACCCAACCUAGAGGGGUGGUGGCCCACACGGAAAUGGGGACACGGUCCAGACCCCUAGGGGAGGCAGCGGUAGGGAACCUUCCGAAAGGGGCGAAAGCCUGACGAGCAACGCCGCGUGAGUGAUGAAGGUCUUCGGAUCGUAAAACUCUGUUAUUAGGGAAGAACAAACGUGUAAGUAACUGUGCACGUCUUGACGGUACCUAAUCAGAAAGCCACGGCUAACUACGUG
This 496-nucleotide ribosomal RNA is filed under the name uncultured bacterium. Its description in RNAcentral is "partial 16S ribosomal RNA". It matches the Rfam family "Bacterial small subunit ribosomal RNA", at positions 28 to 507 of the family's 1533-position model. The record is from RNAcentral.